GAUGAACGCUAGCGAUAGGCCUAACACAUGCAAGUCGAGGGGCAUCGGGGCGAGGAGCAAUCCUUGCCGCCGGCGACCGGCGCACGGGUGAGUAACGCGUAUGCGACCUGCCCGUUGCAGGGGGAUAAUCGGGAGAAAUCCCGUCUAAUACCGCGUAACGCCGCGGGGCUGCAUGGCCCUGCGGCCAAAGGAAGCGAUUCCGGCAACGGAUGGGCAUGCGUGACAUUAGCUAGUUGGCGGGGCAACGGCCCACCAAGGCGACGAUGUCUAGGGGUUCUGAGAGGAAGGUCCCCCACACUGGAACUGAGACACGGUCCAG
This 319-nucleotide ribosomal RNA is filed under the name uncultured bacterium. RNAcentral describes it as "bacterial SSU rRNA". It matches the Rfam family "Bacterial small subunit ribosomal RNA", at positions 28 to 334 of the family's 1533-position model. The record is from RNAcentral.